This 223-nucleotide ribosomal RNA is filed under the name uncultured bacterium. RNAcentral's name for it is "partial 16S ribosomal RNA". It matches the Rfam family "Bacterial small subunit ribosomal RNA", at positions 111 to 334 of the family's 1533-position model. The record is from RNAcentral.
UAACGCGUGGGUAACCUGCCCUAUACACAUGGAUAACAUACUGAAAAGUUUACUAAUACAUGAUAAUAUAUAUUUACGGCAUCGUAGAUAUAUCAAAGUGUUAGCGGUAUAGGAUGGACCCGCGUCUGAUUAGCUAGUUGGUGAGAUAACUGCCCACCAAGGCGACGAUCGGUAGCCGGACUGAGAGGUUGAACGGCCACAUUGGGACUGAGACACGGCCCAG